AAACCCUAGCCGCUCCAUACCACCAUCCUACCCCUCUCUUUCUCUCUGAAAACUCUGGAGACUGGAGUGAAGAACCCAGCCCCAAACCUCCUUGGAGCAGCACCCAGCCACCAUCCACUCUUCGUCGCCGAACUCUUCUCCUCGGCAGGAGGGUGCUGUCGUCGCUCAACGUUCCUCUUCUCCUCGCCCUAUUCUCGUCGUCUGCUCGUGGUUGCUCGAUCCUCCUCUGGCGACGUUCCUCCCUCGGCAGAUCUGCUGGGAGCUACUCUCGUCAUCAACGUCUCUGCCCUCGUCAUGAAGCCCGCCUCUUCCCUCAUCAUCAAGCCCGUCUCUGCUCGGAGCUCUUCUCGUCGCCAUCGUGUCUCUCUCUUCAAGCUCUCUGUCUCCCUCCCACGGUUGCUUACUCACAGUAGCAACCCUUGCUUUCACCUUCAUCCUCCGACGGUUGUUCAAGUCCACUGCUCUUCUGACUUUGAGUUAAUUUUUCUGGAUUUGAGUUAUUUUUUUUUGAAAUAAUAUGGUUGAUUGUUGAUGGUAUUUUGUUAAUUGUGUUGAUUUCUGAUUUUAUUGUCUAAUUGUAAUGGAUUUUAAUUUCUGAGUUUGUCAUCUGAACUUCUGUUGAUUGUGUUCUGAAUUUCUGAUGUUGCAUGUGUUGUUGGUUUGUUGAUAAGAUAGAAAUUGUAUAAAUCCCGGUUGGUGUGUUGUUGGUGUUGUUAACUGUAUUUGAUUUGUGCAAGUUUGUAUUGGUGAUGGUUGCUGCUUAUAAAUUUUUAUUGCAAGGUGUCUGAGAAGAAGGCUGAAGAAAGUUGAGCCCUCUUGAAAGCUGAGCAUUAGCUUGGGAUGAAGCAAAACGUGAAUUUUGCAGAUGGUUCAGGUCACAGUAGUCCUUGUGUCAGUUGUGUGAGGGUGAGGCACAUGUUUGAGAAUGAGAUGACACCAAUGCUAGCCAAGAGCCUUCAAGAACCAGUACGCGGAUUCGAGCCAAUACUCCGGCAACUAGGAGUCUAAUUCACUCUGGGGCUUCAACUCCGGUGAUGCCCCGAAAUGGUGGGAUGGAAAUUGGAAUCUCAUUCUGGCGAGGGUCAUCAAGGAUCAUGGAAUCCUUCUUGCAAGGUGUCUGAGAAGAAGGCUGAAGAUCAUGCAAGGAAGUUGAGCCCUCUUGAAAGCUGAGCAUUGGCUUGGGAUGAAGCAGAAUGUGCCAAGUAUAUGCCCAGGUUCAGGCAUGAAGAGGUGAGGAUUCAAUCAUGUUA
Long non-coding RNA from Arachis stenosperma, 1250 nucleotides. RefSeq lists it as uncharacterized. The transcript has 3 exons. Lineage: Eukaryota; Viridiplantae; Streptophyta; Magnoliopsida; Fabales; Fabaceae. The record is from RefSeq and is a predicted model, not a curated record.